Molecule: ribosomal RNA, 427 nt
Filed under: uncultured bacterium
Lineage: Bacteria
Description: bacterial SSU rRNA
Rfam family: Bacterial small subunit ribosomal RNA
Source: RNAcentral
GGGGAAUUUUGGACAAUGGGCGCAAGCCUGAUCCAGCAAUGCCGCGUGGAGGAUGAAGGCCCUCGUGGUCGUAAACUCUUGUCUAGCGGGACGAAAGUGUUUGGGGUGAAUAAUCCCAGACAUUGACUGUACUGCUGGCGGGAGCUCCGGCCAACUCCGUGCCAGCAACCGCGGUAAUACGGCGGGAGCAAGCGUUACUCGGAAUUAUUGGGCGUAAAGGGCGCGUAGGCGAUCUGCCAAGUCCUGUGUGAAAGCACAAGGCUUAACCCUGGAAGUGCACAGGAGACUGGCUGGAUUUGAGUUCAGGAGAGGAAGGCAGAAUUCCCGGUGUAGCGGUGAAAUGCGUAGAGAUCGGGAGGAAUACCAGUGGCGAAGGCGGCCUUCUGGACUGACACUGACGCUGAGGCGCGAAAGCCAGGGGAGCAAA